UCCAGUGCAUCUGGAACUUCUAAUAAUGGUUCAUUGGGAUCAAUGGGAAAUAAUUAUAGUACCAGCUUGAAUGCGAGCACGCCCAACAGUAUGAAUUUCCAAGCUAAUGGAAAUAAUAGCUGGGCCUUCAGCAAUCAAAGUUCAUCUGAGCUGUUGAAAUCAAACCAAGGGAUUUCUACAAUGAGUGCUGGUAGUUUGAACAGUGGUCAUAAUCCUCAGAAAUCAAUUGGUUUCAUGAAACAAAAUCAAGGUAUGUCUGCUUUGGGUCCAUAUAAUGAUAAGAAAUCAACAGAUCUUGGAUCAAUAUUUGGUUCCAGCAAAAACGAGCAGCUUGCACCUAAACUUGCUCCGCCACCAUCAACUGCUGUGGGCAGAGGAAGAGGAAUAGGAAGAGGGGCCACUUCUACUUCAAGAUCUACCCAUGCCAAACCACAGUCGGAACAGCCAUCCCUUUUGGACUUGCUGUAAUGGACUGGAUUGCCUCUAUCACGUGAAAGGAGGGCUGAAAAAAGAGAGGUUCAAGUAGCCGUGAGCCAUUCUAUGCAGCGACGCAGUUGGAUUUUAUGUUAAAAACGGUGGAUUCUAAGUUCAUUUGGGGCGAGAGAUUCUCAAUGGCCAUAGUGAAUGGCAUGGUUUGUCGAGUGAUUUUCGUGAGUUUGUAGCUUAUUCUGACGGACCCUUUUGUUUUCUCUCCUUUUGUUUUUUCUUUUUUUUUGGGGCUUUAAAAAAAAAAAAAAGGUAUGUUAUGCUGUUUAGUUGGAACAGUUAGGCUUUUUGAUGUUUGAAAAUAGUUUUUGCUGGAAAUGUAUUUUUCAAAACAAUUCCAGUUCCAGCAACUGGUUUAGAAAU
Molecule: unclassified non-coding RNA, 849 nt
Filed under: Hevea brasiliensis (rubber tree)
Lineage: Eukaryota; Viridiplantae; Streptophyta; Magnoliopsida; Malpighiales; Euphorbiaceae
Source: RNAcentral